This 44-nucleotide ribosomal RNA is filed under the name Cyanidium caldarium. Its description in RNAcentral is "partial 23S ribosomal RNA". The record is from RNAcentral. Lineage: Eukaryota; Rhodophyta; Bangiophyceae; Cyanidiales; Cyanidiaceae.
GAUUCAAAUGAAUAAGGGCUUAGGGUGGAUACCUUGGCAUCCAG